UGGGGAAUUUUGGACAAUGGGCGAAACCNUGAUCCAGCCAUGCCGCGUGCAGGAUGAAGGCCUUCGGGUUGUAAACUGCUUUUGUACGGAACGAAAAGACUCUGGUUAAUACCUGGGGUCCAUGACGGUACCGUAAGAAUAAGCACCGGCUAACUACGUGCCAGCAGCCGCGGUAAUACGUAGGGUGCAAGCGUUAAUCGGAAUUACUGGGCGUAAAGCGUGCGCAGGCGGUUAUAUAAGACAGAUGUGAAAUCCCCGGGCUCAACCUGGGAACUGCAUUUGUGACUGUAUAGCUAGAGUACGGCAGAGGGGGAUGGAAUUCCGCGUGUAGCAGUGAAAUGCNUANAUAUGCGGAGGAACACCGAUGGCGAAGGCAAUCCCCUGGGCCUGUACUGACGCUCAUGCACGAAAGCGUGGGGAGCAAACAGGAUUAGAUACCCUGGUAGUCCACGCCCUAAACGAUGUCAACUGGUUGUUGGGUCUUCACUGACUCANUAACGAANCUAACGCGUGAAGUUGACCGCCUGGGGGAGUACGGCCGCAAGGUUUG
This 550-nucleotide ribosomal RNA is filed under the name uncultured bacterium. Its description in RNAcentral is "bacterial SSU rRNA". It matches the Rfam family "Bacterial small subunit ribosomal RNA", at positions 355 to 897 of the family's 1533-position model. The record is from RNAcentral.